AAAAAUUGUACACAAGUCACUGGUCCAGAUCUACAGCAAAAAUAUUUCCAGUCCAAUCAUGUAAAAGAAACCGUAGUGGAGUCCCUUUAAUAAAUAUAAGUAUUAUAAUCAAACUUAAUUUUUAUUUUUUUACAUAAAACUAAUGCUUAUCUGGAGAUGCAAUAUGUGUUUAUAUAAUUAUGUACCCAUUCAUUCCAAUGAAUGGAAAACCUUAUAGGAAAGAGAAAAUGCAUAUCAAUAUAA
Ruditapes philippinarum (Manila clam) is the source of this 243-nucleotide long non-coding RNA. RefSeq lists it as uncharacterized. The record is from RefSeq and is a predicted model, not a curated record. NCBI's taxonomy places the organism in Eukaryota, Metazoa, Mollusca, Bivalvia, Venerida, Veneridae. The transcript has 2 exons.